GUAGGUGGCGAGCGUUGUCCGGAAUGACUGGGCGUAAAGGGAGCGUAGGUUGCGAUUUAAGUUAGGUGUGAAAGCCCGUAGCUCAACUACGGAACUGCAUUUAAAACUGGAUUGCUAGAGUACAGGAGGGGUGAGCGGAAUUCCUAGUGUAGCGGUGGAAUGCGUAGAUAUUAGGAAGAACACCGGAGGCGAAGGCGGCUCACUGGACUGCAACUGACACUGAGGCUCGAAAGCGUGGGGAGCAAACAGGAUUAGAUACCCUGGUAGUCCACGCCCUAAACGAUGGAUACUAAACGUGGGAGGUAUCGACUCCUUCCGUGUUGAAGCAAACGCGAUAAGUAUCCCGCCUGAGUAGUACGGCCGCAAGGUUG
This 371-nucleotide ribosomal RNA is filed under the name uncultured bacterium. Its description in RNAcentral is "bacterial SSU rRNA". It matches the Rfam family "Bacterial small subunit ribosomal RNA", at positions 527 to 896 of the family's 1533-position model. The record is from RNAcentral.